GACGAACGCUGGUGGCGUGCCUAAUACAUGCAAGUCGAGCGGACCAAUAGAAGCUUGCUUCUGUUGGUUAGCGGCGGACGGGUGAGUAACACGUGGGCAACCUGCCUGUAAGACUGGGAUAACUUCGGGAAACCGGAGCUAAUACCGGAUAAUUCAUCCCCUCGCAUGAGGGGAUGCUGAAAGUCGGUUUACGCUGACACUUACAGAUGGGCCCGCGGCGCAUUAGCUAGUUGGUGAGGUAAUGGCUCACCAAGGCGACGAUGCGUAGCCGACCUGAGAGGGUGAUCGGCCACACUGGGACUGAGACACGGCCCAGACUCCUACGGGAGGCAGCAGUAGGGAAUCUUCCACAAUGGACGAAAGUCUGAUGGAGCAACGCCGCGUGAGCGAUGAAGGCCUUCGGGUCGUAAAGCUCUGUUGUUAGGGAAGAACAAGUAUCGGAGUAACUGCCGGUACCUUGACGGUACCUAACCAGGAAGCCACGGCUAACUACGUGCCAGCAGCCGCCGCGG
This 512-nucleotide ribosomal RNA is filed under the name uncultured bacterium. RNAcentral describes it as "partial 16S ribosomal RNA". It matches the Rfam family "Bacterial small subunit ribosomal RNA", at positions 28 to 523 of the family's 1533-position model. The record is from RNAcentral.